This is a non-coding RNA of Pluteus cervinus, 117 nucleotides long. NCBI's taxonomy places the organism in Eukaryota, Fungi, Basidiomycota, Agaricomycetes, Agaricales, Pluteaceae. The record is from the annotation of a GenBank genome assembly.
GGGCGUUUAGCGCAGUGGUAGCGCGUAUGCUUUGCACUCCGGUCUUCGGCGCGCAACUGAUUCUCUUCGGAUCAGAAAUGUUGUAUAAGGUCCAGGGUUCAAUCCCCUGAACGUCCA